This 1563-nucleotide long non-coding RNA is filed under the name Homo sapiens (human). RNAcentral describes it as "HSALNT0290473". Lineage: Eukaryota; Metazoa; Chordata; Mammalia; Primates; Hominidae. The record is from RNAcentral.
UUUUCUUCCGUUCUGUCCUCCAAAUCAGCCUCUUCCGAGCCUGUUGACCAGGGCCAGCCAGGCAGAGGGCUGGGUUCGCUCAACGAGGCUCCUCUCGGCCCUCCUGGAGCUUCAGGCCUCUUUCGGUUGCAGAGAAGCUUUAUGGGCCACUUCCUUCGGCAUCCCCGGGGGCAGGUGCGCGGUGCCCGGGGAAGAAGAGGGUUUGACUGCGGUUCUCGACCCCCGGCGACCAACCUCCACCCCGGUGGGCGCGCUCUUCCAGGCUCCUGCUGGUCCCACUGGCCGGGAGUCAGGUCUCGGGUCAGCCUGAGCUCCAGAGACGCCCAGGCCCGGAAGGACACGUAGGGGAAACCAGCUGCUCACUUUGGUCUUGUCCGCAACGGACCUCUUGCUGCCAGGAAAGAAAGGCGUCGAGUCCUGUCCUGUUGGGUAGGCGGAAGAGCGAUCAAAGGGAAGACAAGAAAUAUCCUGGGAGGUUUCAGGAUCUAAAGUUACCAUGAAGUCAACCUAACCUCCUCUGGAGGUCCUCCCAGUCCUCCCGUGGCUGGCGAUGGUGAAUCGAGUUUCCGUCUCCAGUUUGCCAAGGCAGACAAAGCCGACACAAUGGGCCUGUCCACUAUCUUCUUUCAUAUACACAAAAUGUCAGCUCUUCCUGUUUCUAACUGGCAACAUCCCGCCUGAUGACCAGCUUAGCAAAUUAGAGACUCUCCAUGGGAUUCCAUCUGUGUCUUAGUUCGGGCUUCUCUAACACUGUACCAUACAUAAACUGGGUGGCUGAUUCACAACAGAAAUUGAUUUCUCACAGUUCCGGAGGUUGGAAGUCCGAGAUCAAGGUGCCGACAUGCUAAACAAGCACUGGCCUUGAGAUAAGCAAUGCUGAAGCACUUGCAGCUCACCCAUUACCAUAAACUGACUGAGCCCUCCCUACACAAGCCAUAACUACAGCUUUGAUUGGACAAGAGACUGAUUUCAGUAACUUCCCCUUGAUAAGAGAGCACUGGCUGUGGACGGGUUCUGGACGUUUUACAGAGGCUGUGCACUUGACUGCCUUUGUGUCCCUGCUUCCCCUUUUGAAGCAUAGGGACUAAUUAUAAUGUAUUUAAAUGUCAUCUCCACCCCAAAGUGAACAUGGGUUGCAUGUAACAGGCUUGUUUACUCAGCAUGCAUGCAGCACGAUCCCUUCAUGAAUAUUCAGAGCUCCUCCUAUUCCCUGUUGAAUAUGCAUAUGUGGCCCACCAGAUCAACAUAAAUCCCUGUUCCCCCCUCCCCUCCCUGGAAACCUACUUUUCGGUUUCAGCAGGAGGGUAUGCCUCCCAGUCUGUGGGAAUGGCCACCUUGCAGGCUGUAACCAUUUAUAAAAAAUAAAAUCUCCCUUCUAAAUUUAUAAAUUGUGUGAUUUUUCAGUUGACAGCUUUCAGUCAGACUUUUCACUGACUGGGAAAAUUCAUUUGCAAUAUAUUUAUUUUAAAAAUGACUCCUCAGCAUACAAAAUUCUUGUGCAAAGAUCACAAGCAUUCUUAUACACCAAUAACAGACAAACAGAGAGCCAAAUCAUGAGGGAAC